This 446-nucleotide ribosomal RNA is filed under the name uncultured bacterium. RNAcentral's name for it is "SSU rRNA". It matches the Rfam family "Bacterial small subunit ribosomal RNA", at positions 26 to 518 of the family's 1533-position model. The record is from RNAcentral.
AGAACGAACGCUGGCGGCAUGCCUAACACAUGCAAGUCGAACGAGACCUUCGGGUCUAGUGGCGCACGGGUGCGUAACGCGUGGGAAUCUGCCCUUGGGUUCGGAAUAACAGUUAGAAAUGACUGCUAAUACCGGAUGAUGUCUUCGGACCAAAGAUUUAUCGCCCAGGGAUGAGCCCGCGUAGGAUUAGGUAGUUGGUGGGGUAAUGGCCCACCAAGCCGACGAUCCUUAGCUGGUCUGAGAGGAUGAUCAGCCACACUGGGACUGAGACACGGCCCAGACUCCUACGGGAGGCAGCAGUGGGGAAUAUUGGACAAUGGGCGAAAGCCUGAUCCAGCAAUGCCGCGUGAGUGAUGAAGGCCUUAGGGUUGUAAAGCUCUUUUACCAGGGAUGAUAAUGACAGUACCUGGAGAAUAAGCUCCGGCUAACUCCGUGCCAGCAGCCGC